This 406-nucleotide ribosomal RNA is filed under the name uncultured bacterium. RNAcentral's name for it is "partial 16S ribosomal RNA". It matches the Rfam family "Bacterial small subunit ribosomal RNA", at positions 28 to 526 of the family's 1533-position model. The record is from RNAcentral.
GAUGAACGCUGACAGAAUGCUUAACACAUCAGCAAUUGAUUGGUGGCGGUCGGGUGAGUAACGCGUAAAGAACUUGCCUCACCGCUAGGGACAACAUUUGGAAACGAAUGCUAAUACCUAAUACUGUGAGAGAGCUUUGCGUCCCAUUAGCUAGUUGGAGAGGUAACGGCUCACCAAGGCGAUGAUGGGUAGCCGGCCUGUGAGGGUGAUCGGGCACAAGGUGACUGAGGCACGGCCCUUACGCAAACGGGAGGAAGCAGUGGUGAAUAUUGGACAAUGUACCAAAGUCUGAUCCAGCAAUUCGGUGUGCACAAUAAAGUUGUCGGGAUGAAAAGUGCUUUCAGUUGGGAAGCGGUACCAACAGAAGAAGUGACGGCUAAAUACGUGCCAGCCGCCGCGGUAAUUC